Molecule: ribosomal RNA, 982 nt
Filed under: uncultured Bacteroidota bacterium
Lineage: Bacteria; Pseudomonadati; Bacteroidota
Description: bacterial SSU rRNA
Rfam family: Bacterial small subunit ribosomal RNA
Source: RNAcentral
CAGCCGCCGCGGUAAUACGGAGGGUGCAAGCGUUAUCCGGAUUUAUUGGGUUUAAAGGGUGCGUAGGCGGAUCUAUAAGUCAGUGGUGAAAUCCCGGGGCUCAACUCCGGAACUGCCAUUGAUACUGUAGGUCUUGAAUACGGUUGAGGUAGGCGGAAUGUAGCAUGUAGCGGUGAAAUGCAUAGAUAUGCUACAGAACACCGAUCGCGAAGGCAGCUUACCAAGCCGAUAUUGACGCUCAGGCACGAAAGCGUGGGUAGCGAACAGGAUUAGAUACCCUGGUAGUCCACGCCGUAAACGAUGAUCACUCGUUGUUGGCAACACAUAGUCAGUGACCAAGCGAAAGCGAUAAGUGAUCCACCUGGGGAGUACGACCGCAAGGUUGAAACUCAAAGGAAUUGACGGGGGCCCGCACAAGCGGUGGAGCAUGUGGUUUAAUUCGAUGAUACGCGAGGAACCUUACCUGGGCUCAAAUGUAAGUUGACAGUUCCCGAAAGGGAAUUUUCUUCGGACAAUUUACAAGGUGCUGCAUGGUUGUCGUCAGCUCGUGCCGUGAGGUGUCGGGUUAAGUCCCAUAACGAGCGCCACCCCUAUCAUUAGUUGCCAUCAGGUAAAGCUGGGGACUCUAAUGAAACUGCCUACGCAAGUAGAGAGGAAGGUGGGGAUGACGUCAAAUCAGCACGGCCCUUACGUCCAGGGCUACACACGUGCUACAAUGGCCGGUACAGAGGGCAGCCACCACGCGAGUGGGAGCGAAUCUCGAAAGCCGGUCUCAGUUCGGAUCGAAGUCUGCAACCCGACUUCGUGAAGCUGGAAUCGCUAGUAAUCGCGCAUCAGCCAUGGCGCGGUGAAUACGUUCCCGGGCCUUGUACACACCGCCCGUCAAGCCAUGGAAGCUGGGGGUACCUGAAGUCGGUAACCGUUAAGGAGCUGCCUAGGGUAAAACUAGUGACUGGGGCUAAGUCGUAACAAGGUAGCCGUA